AAGUCUGACGGAGCAACGCCGCGUGAGUGAAGAAGGUUUUCGGAUUGUAAAGCUCUGUCUUCUGAGAAGAAUGUCAUCCUUGAAAAUAUUGAGGGUGAAUGACGGUACUAGAGGAGGAAGCCACGGCUAACUACGUGCCAGCAGCCGCGGUAAUGCGUAGGGGACAAGCGUUGUCCGGAUUUACUGGGCGUAAAGGGCACGCAGGCGGUUUUUUAAGUCAGAUGUGAAAGGUACCGGCUCAACCGGUGACAUGCAUUUGAAACUGAAAGACUUGAGUAUUGGAGAGGCAAGUGGAAUUCCUAGUGUAGCGGUUAAAUGCGUAGAUAUUAGGAGGAACACCGGUGGCGAAGGCGGCUUGCUGGACAAAUACUGACGCUGAGGUGCGAAAGCGUGGGGAGCAAACA
Molecule: ribosomal RNA, 404 nt
Filed under: uncultured Acetobacterium sp.
Lineage: Bacteria; Bacillati; Bacillota; Clostridia; Eubacteriales; Eubacteriaceae
Description: bacterial SSU rRNA
Rfam family: Bacterial small subunit ribosomal RNA
Source: RNAcentral